RNA transcript from Mangifera indica (mango), 2311 nucleotides. RefSeq lists it as uncharacterized. The record is from RefSeq and is a predicted model, not a curated record. The transcript has 3 exons. NCBI's taxonomy places the organism in Eukaryota, Viridiplantae, Streptophyta, Magnoliopsida, Sapindales, Anacardiaceae.
UAGUCUUUAUCCCUUUGAAUAGAUUUUUUUUAUAGGCUAUAAAAAUUAUUUCUCUAAAAGUUUAGACCUCAUAAGAAAAUCAACAAUAUUAGUUUUUAUUUUUAUACUUGGCAAUUGAAAAAGGGAGAGGUGUAAAGUUAUUUGGAUCAACAAAAAGGGUUGGAGAUUUGAGAGAGAGAUAUGGUACGCACUGAUAGAGAUAGAAACCCAAGGGCAAAUGCAUCAACCUCUGGGCUAAGAAAUGAUGAUAGAGAACCAACCUUACGUGAGAUUGCUGAGGAAGGUAACCCUAUGAUACGCAUGAUGGCUAGGAUUAUGGAACAGCAAAAUAUGUUGAUCACAGAAUUGACACAUCGUGGAAGUACUCCAAGGACUGAGGAGCAAGAACGUCCUACCAAUGAGGGACCUAUCUUUGUGUUGGAGAGAUUUAAAAAGCUUGGACCUCCAUCUUUUCAAGGGACAACAGAUCCUUUGAAGGCUGAGUCAUGGCUGAAGCAAAUUGAAAAGAUUUUCACAGUUAUUGGGUGCACAGAUGAUCAAAGGGUUGUGCUUGCCUCCUUUAUGCUUCAAGGUGAGGCGGAUCAUUGGUGGGAGGCGACCUCUCGCCUUAUGAGGGCUCAUUUAGGAAAUAGACCCAUCUCUUGGCGCAUGUUUCAGGAGGCUUUCAAUGAGAAAUAUUUCCCUGAUCGAGUUCGUUUCAAGAUGGAGGCAGAUUUUCUAAGUUUGAUACAAGGGAAUAAGUCAGUGGCUGAAUAUGAAGAACAAUUCACAGCUUUGUCACGUUUUGUUCCUAAAUUAAUUGAUGAAGAGGGUAGUAAGUGUCGAAGAUUCUUUGAAGGAUUGCGUCCAUCCAUUAAGGCUCAAUUAUCAAUUCUUAAGUUGACAACAUAUUCGGAUAUUGUUGAUCGAGCUAUGAUAGCAGAAAGAUAUUUGAGGGAGUCCCAAACUAGUAGAGAGACUUGGAACAAGAAUAAUAAACAGUAUGAAUCUCGCAUUGGAGGAUCAAACCAGCAGAAUGAUGAGCUAGUAAAACAUUCCAAUAAUGGGUCUUCGCAGAGAAACGUACCCAUGUGUCAGUAUUGCGGUAAUUCACAUAUUGGAGAAUGUCUGAAGAGAAAAGGUGCUUGUUUUGGGUGUGGUGAAGUUGGACAUAGAAUUAGAGACUGUCCAAAGAAAAGAAGUGCUAUUAUGGGAGCUUCCAGUGAUGAAACAGAAAGGAAGAAGCUAAAGACCCAAGGACGUGUUUUUGCCUUAACCAAGCAAGAUGAUAAAGCUCCUAAUAAAGUGGUUUCAGGUAAUUUAUCUUUAUUUAAUAAAGAAGCUGGAGUACAUUUUGAUCUAGGUGCCACCCACUCUGCUAUCCCUCCUAUUUUGCUGGGUAUAUAAAUGAGCCACUUGAACCAUUGGACAAUUAUUUAUUAGUUGCUGCUAUUUUACGUGAUGACAUGCUAAUUGAUAUGGCUUGUAAAUCUUGCAUGGUUAGUUUUGGGUGAUGGUGAAUUUGGCAUGGAUUUUUUACUUUCAGACAUGUGAGACUUUGAUGCUAUACACGGACAGGGUUGUUUAGCAAGGUAUCAUGCUAAGGUGAAAUUUUACGAAGAGUAUAAUCUUACGAAAGCAGGUGCAAAUUUCGAGGACGAAAUUUUUGUAAGAAGGGGAGAAUUGUAAUAUACAGUUUUUGUAUACUUGUUGAUAAAAAAGAUAUGAAGAGAUAUUAAGAUUAAAUAGAUAUGGUUGCAAAGCCAAAAUUAAGGAAAUUAUGUAUUGGAGGAUUAUAAAUAAGGAUUUUAGGAUUUGAUGGAUUUUUUUUAAAAUAGAAAGAAGGGAUAUGAUUGGAUUAAUUGAGAAAUAAGAAGAUAUUGAUUGAUUUUAAUUAAAAUAGUCUUUAUCCCUUUGAAUAGAUUUUUUUUAUAGGCUAUAAAAAUUAUUUCUCUAAAAGUUUAGACCUCAUAAGAAAAUCAACAAUAUUAGUUUUUAUUUUUAUACUUGGCAAUUGAAAAAGGGAGAGGUGUAAAGUUAUUUGGAUCAACAAAAAGGGUUGGAGAUUUGAGACAACGUGAAGAUAUUGGUAUCUCAUUGGUUGAUUAAAGACAUAGUUAGAAAAUUGUUGAGGUAAGUAAAAGCUUACAUAAUAUGUAAUGAUUUUUGUUCUAUAUGAAAAAUGUUUAUAUCGUUGUUUAUGUUAUAAAAUUCUUUUACUAUGAUUGAUAAAUUAUGUUAUGGUUUUAUUUUAGAAGUAUAUGAUCUUGUUAUCUAAAAUACUUUCGAAAAGUGUUUUGAUAUUUUUCUAUAGAAGAAAACUUAUGUUAUA